RNAcentral lists this ribosomal RNA (641 nucleotides) under uncultured archaeon. Its description in RNAcentral is "bacterial SSU rRNA". It matches the Rfam family "Archaeal small subunit ribosomal RNA", at positions 21 to 650 of the family's 1478-position model. The record is from RNAcentral.
GGUCACUGCUAUUGGGGUUCGACUAAGCCAUGCGAGUCAUCAGCUUCGCAAGGAGCUGAGGCGCACUGCUCAGUAACACGUGGAUAACUUAACCUCAUGUCAGGGAUAACCCCGGGAAACUGGGGAUAAUACCCGAUAGAAGACAGACACUGGAAUGUUCUAUCUUCGAAAGGCGCAAGUUUACUUGUUAGCGCAUGAGGAUGGGUCCGCGGCUGAUUAGGUAGUUGGUGGUGUAACGGACCACCAAGCCUGCGAUCAGUACGGGUGGUGGGAGCCAUGGCCCGGAGAUGGACUCUGAGACAUGAGUCCAGGCCCUACGGGGCGCAGCAGGCGCGAAAACUUCGCAAUACGCGUAAGCGUGACGAGGGAACCCCAAGUACUCUUGCUUUUUGCAGGAGUUUUUGCCAAGUGUAAAUAGCUUGGAGAAUAAGGGCGGGGUAAGGCCGGUGCCAGCCGCCGCGGUAAUACCGGCCGCCCGAGUAGUGACCACUAUUAUUGGGCCUAAAGCGUCCGUAGCCGGUUUUGUAAGUUUCUGGGUAAAUCCCACAGCUUAACUGAGGGAAUUCCAGAAAUACUGCAGAGCUAGGGGCCGGGAGACGCAGAAGGUACUCCUGGGGUAGGGGUGAAAUCCUAUAAUCCUA